AUCUGCUUCUUCAUACGAAAAAUGAGAUCUUAAUCCAAUCCAGCACCGAUAAUAAUCAUGAUCCAUAAAGGGAGACUCGAGAGCCCAAGGGCAGAUUCUAGGAAUUAAACAUGAUUCAAACAUAAAAGCCAUAGUAUCAGUGAUCUUGUAUGGCCCAGCCUCGCUUCCACGUGCAAUGGUGGCCUGUGUUAAAAAGAAAAAAAAAAAUUGUAAGAUCAGGAUCAUUCAUCGUUAAGCAGAAUGUUUUAAGGCUUUAACACUAACACCUCUACCAGCCAGCCAAUGCUUUAAUGCCUCUACCAGUCAGUCAAUCUCUUAAAUUCGAGCAUAUGGUUACCAAUCAAGAAAAGUUAAAAAGGCAUAAAGAAAUCAGAGAGGUUUUGUAAAUACAUAUAAUCAUGUAAAAAUUUUGUUUUCUGCAUCUCCACAUGUACAAAACAACUGCUGAAUCAUUAGGUUCUAGAUUUUUAUAAAUGGAGAUUAGGGAGAGUCUUGAUGGGAAACAAGCAGUAAACAUAGAUAUUGUGUGCUAGAGGCAUACCUCAUAUGUCUUCGUAUCAGGACCAUGGGGAGUCAUACAACUAUGAAGGCUCGCACCACCUGGGAGAAACCCAUCAGCUUUUGCC
Molecule: long non-coding RNA, 626 nt
Filed under: Citrus sinensis (sweet orange)
Lineage: Eukaryota; Viridiplantae; Streptophyta; Magnoliopsida; Sapindales; Rutaceae
Description: long non-coding RNA (CSIN_LNC005284)
Source: RNAcentral